This 527-nucleotide ribosomal RNA is filed under the name uncultured bacterium. RNAcentral's name for it is "bacterial SSU rRNA". It matches the Rfam family "Bacterial small subunit ribosomal RNA", at positions 104 to 651 of the family's 1533-position model. The record is from RNAcentral.
GGCUGAGUAACACGUAAGUGACCUACCCCCCAGUGGGGAAUAACUGCUCGAAAGAGUGGCUAAUACCGCAUGAGCUCGCGGCUUCGGUGUCGUGAGGAAAGCAGUGAUGCGCUAGGGGAUGGGCUUGCGGCCGAUUAGCUAGUUGGUGGGGUAAGGGCCUACCAAGGCGAUGAUCGGUAGCUGGUCUGAGAGGAUGAUCAGCCAGACUGGGACUGCGACACGGCCCAGACUCCUACGGGAGGCAGCAGUUAGGAAUUUUGCGCAAUGGACGAAAGUCUGACGCAGCAACGCCGCGUGGAGGACGAAGGCCCUCGGGUCGUAAACUCCUUUUCUAAGGGAAGAUAGUGACGGUACCUUAGGAAUAAGCCCCGGCUAACUACGUGCCAGCAGCCGCGGUAAUACGUAGGGGGCGAGCGUUGUCCGGAUUUACUGGGCGUAAAGAGCGCGUAGGCGGUGGGUCUAGUCGUGCGUGAAAUACCUCGGCUCAACCGGGGGGUGUCGUGCGAUACUGGCCCACUCGAGGCUGG